This 93-nucleotide transfer RNA is filed under the name bacterium. RNAcentral's name for it is "tRNA-Phe". RNAcentral also lists the same sequence under 1 other name. The record is from RNAcentral.
GGCUCCUAAAUCUGAAAGACAGAAAUGCAAAACGCAAUAUAGAGCACUGGAUUGAAAAUCCAGGUGUCGGCGGUUCAAGCCCGCCCCCGACCA